CUGUGGGCGACUGUUGUCUAAUGAGGAGAACGGCAGUUGGUACGAAUGACGUCAGAUUUGGCUUUAACACUGGAGUAUGGCGGAAUCAAAGAUUUUCGGAUGAAGUCCAUGUCACACAAGGAAGUCUUCAGUGCCACUUCUUCGUGGAAAGAACACUGCAGCCUCCAUAUCAGUGCUGUUGCCCCUUCAAGACCGACACCGGUGAGGAGAAAGAAACGGAUCUGAUGAAGACCGAACUAGAUCUGCCAUUACAAGACCAACGUCCGACAAGCCGAAUGUCUUAGAAAACCUCAUCGCAAGCAUCAUGGAAAAAUAAGUGAAUAACUGGACCGCCUGGGAUUGGAAAGCUCAGUAGCACCGCCCUGUACCUUCUCAGUGAACGUGCUACUAAUUAGCUGAUAAUCGGCUACAGUAGUUUACUUAAUGAAUAAGAGAAAGACAUUUCGGAUGCACCUACAUCCUAAACAAAGUCCUCUCACCGAUUACACCUUUAUCCAACAGUGAAUUCUAACCGACGUUCGCGUUAUUACCGUGACGUGUAACGCCGAGGGCCGGCCUGGACAUCUCUUCAGAUGUUCCAGAUUUUCCCGAAGGAUAAAAGCCGAUGUGUCGGAAAGGACUUUCGAAAACCUUCGGUUGGCCGACUUUCAGAGUCCCGCAUAAUCGAGAUUCUCUCAAGAAGCGUUAUAACAGGAUCCGCGCCGCUCUAACGAAGCAAGAGUUCCCACGGGCUUUGACCGGAAAAUGGGUGUCGUUAAGGGGCACUUUUUUAUUACAGAGCCUCUAAGAACACGGGCACUCUAAAAAUAUAAAUUACUAGAAAUCAUUUGUUUAAA
Ornithorhynchus anatinus (platypus) is the source of this 836-nucleotide long non-coding RNA. RefSeq lists it as uncharacterized. The transcript has 2 exons. The record is from RefSeq and is a predicted model, not a curated record. NCBI's taxonomy places the organism in Eukaryota, Metazoa, Chordata, Mammalia, Monotremata, Ornithorhynchidae.